This 398-nucleotide ribosomal RNA is filed under the name uncultured bacterium. RNAcentral describes it as "partial 16S ribosomal RNA". It matches the Rfam family "Bacterial small subunit ribosomal RNA", at positions 523 to 918 of the family's 1533-position model. The record is from RNAcentral.
AUACGUAGGGUGCGAGCGUUGUCCGGAAUUACUGGGCGUAAAGAGCUCGUAGGUGGUUUGUCGCGUCGUCUGUGAAAUUCCGGGGCUUAACUCCGGGCGUGCAGGCGAUACGGGCAUAACUUGAGUACUGUAGGGGAGACUGGAAUUCCUGGAGUAGCGGUGAAAUGCGCAGAUAUCAGGAGGAACACCGGUGGCGAAGGCGGUUCUCUGGGCAGUAACUGACGCUGAGGAGCGAAAGCAUGGGUAGCGAACAGGAUUAGAUACCCUGGUAGUCCAUGCCGUAAACGGUGGGCGCUAGGUGUAGGGGUCUUCCACGACUUCUGUUCCGUAGCUAACGCAUUAAGCGCCCCGCCUGGGGAGUACGGCCGCAAGGCUAAAACUCAAAGGAAUUGACGGGG